Small nuclear RNA from Pteronotus mesoamericanus, 104 nucleotides. The record is from RefSeq and is a predicted model, not a curated record. NCBI's taxonomy places the organism in Eukaryota, Metazoa, Chordata, Mammalia, Chiroptera, Mormoopidae.
GUGCUCGCUUCGGCAGCACACAUGCUAAUAUUGGAACGAGACAAAGAUUAGUAUGGCUCCUGUGCAAGGAUGACAUGCAAAUUAAUGAAGCGUUCCAUAUUUAA